GCCCUACGGGACGCAGCAGUGAGGAAUAUUGGUCAAUGGGCGGAAGCCUGAACCAGCCAAGUCGCGUGAGGGAAUAAGGCCCUACGGGUCGUAAACCUCUUUUGCCGGGGAGCAAGGGCGGGGACGUGUCCCGGCCCGGAGAGUACCCGGAGAAAAAGCAUCGGCUAACUCCGUGCCAGCAGCCGCGGUAAUACGGAGGAUGCGAGCGUUAUCCGGAUUUAUUGGGUUUAAAGGGUGCGUAGGCGGGCUUUUAAGUCAGCGGUAAAAAUUCGGGGCGCAACCCCGGCCGGCCGUUGUAACUGGGG
This 305-nucleotide ribosomal RNA is filed under the name uncultured bacterium. RNAcentral describes it as "bacterial SSU rRNA". It matches the Rfam family "Bacterial small subunit ribosomal RNA", at positions 335 to 638 of the family's 1533-position model. The record is from RNAcentral.